RNAcentral lists this long non-coding RNA (783 nucleotides) under Struthio camelus australis. RNAcentral describes it as "lncRNA (ENSSCUG00000008598.1)". Lineage: Eukaryota; Metazoa; Chordata; Aves; Struthioniformes; Struthionidae. The record is from RNAcentral.
CUUUUCUACCACAGUGUGAGUAUUCUCUUAAUAUUAUCCUUAGAAGAGAUUUUGAUAUUGCCUUUGAAGAAGAACUGAGCCUCUCUUUCCAAAUGAGAUUCACCAUCCUUACUUUGCAUCUAGGACUUAUCCAGAAACCGGCAGAUCUUGAUUUUGGGCCUUUUUCUGUGGAAGAUUCAAACACCAAGUCAUAGAAAUGUACCCAAGACCCCAUCAUUUUGACAAGACUGGAUGACAGGCAAAAGUUGUAAAGAAAGCUCACGACAGCCUUACGUUUGUGCAGAGCUUACUUCAGCAGAUAUGCUAGGAAAAAGCCACUGGGUGAGGAAAUGAUGGAGAAAGAUGACCCAAACAGUGCUCAGCUAUGACUGAAGUGCUUAGGUUCUCAGCUUUGUAAUGACUGCAGUGUUUCUUUUGAGGCUCAUAAUCAGGAGUUUAAUGACCUUGGGAACUUCAAUACUGAAAACUGAAGUGCAUAUAAACUACAACCAUGCUGUGGGUCAGAAUGAACACAGGAAUGAAAGGUUUCAACAGUGCCAACUGAGAGAGAAACAACUUGGGACUGAAGGAGUUUUUCUCUCCUGAAAACACUCUCUGAAGAGUACUGGUCACACUGAGCACAAGUGAUGCUUGUCCCUAAUUUUCUGGAACCAGAUUUCACCAGAGGCUUACAGAUGGCUGCUCUAAGGCAAGUAAACGUAAAUCUGGUUCUCAAAAUUGUUCAUCUUCCGUUGAUAGAAGUGGAAAUUCUCAGAGCUCAGCACUUCUGAAGGUCAGACCUGG